CGAUCGCGGCUCACCCAGCCCCAUUACGUAAAGCGGGAUGGUGCCACACCUUGACAGUUUAAAAUGCCAAGGGGAGUGAGGAGCCUGCACUCAACGUUUGAAACUGACCAUCGCUCAAAGCCCGUGCUCGCCUUCCUAAGUCGCUUCGGCAGGUCUUUGAGAAAACUGUGACCACCUGCAAAAGCCGGACGCUCACUCGGUUCUCUGGCUGCAAACUGGACUUGGUGUUUUGUGGCAACUCUGUUUAGCAAUCAGCUCUUUAUGUAGACGUUCUUACCCUGUGGUUUAUAGGCUGCCUGCCACAUUAGGGGUCCAAUUUGUGUUGGUUAGUGUAAUAUAAAUAAUUAAAAAUGCUAUUUUAAAAAAGUGGGUAGCACAAAAUUACUCUGUAAAGUAAGAGUUAGACAGUUAAAAUACGUGCCUAAGAGUGUACUAGCUCAUGUCAUUUAAUUCAGGGCUUUUUAGAAAAAAAAUCAAAAGUCACUAAGUUGUCAGUACUUCCAAAUUCUCUUGUGAUGGUCAACUUCAAUGAGAAGAAAAGACCAGGGAAGGAAUGUUGGGGCUCACUAACUCUGAAGGCAGUGAUAAUAACACUAGUUGGUCUGCAUUUUGAAGGCAGCUCUCUUACUUAUUCCUGCAGAGUCAAGAGUUUUCUGUUACGUGUUUGCCAAUUAGUCCUAUUGCAGUUUUGGGUUGUGCUGCAUGUUCUUCAGUGGUGGUAACUUGAGUUUAACUCAAGUCUGCUGUUAGCUGUAAUCCCUUCAUAAAUGUUCUCAAGAACUUUUCAUGUUUCUGGAUGCCUGGAAUGGAUAAGAUAUAUUUUAUUUGCAAAUCAA
Lonchura striata (white-rumped munia) is the source of this 836-nucleotide long non-coding RNA. RefSeq lists it as uncharacterized. Lineage: Eukaryota; Metazoa; Chordata; Aves; Passeriformes; Estrildidae. The record is from RefSeq and is a predicted model, not a curated record.